RNAcentral lists this ribosomal RNA (682 nucleotides) under Nocardioides ginkgobilobae. RNAcentral's name for it is "bacterial SSU rRNA". It matches the Rfam family "Bacterial small subunit ribosomal RNA", at positions 122 to 817 of the family's 1533-position model. Lineage: Bacteria; Bacillati; Actinomycetota; Actinomycetes; Propionibacteriales; Nocardioidaceae. The record is from RNAcentral.
UAAUCUGCCUCUGGCUUCGGGAUAGCCACCGGAAACGGUGAUUAAUACCGGAUAUGACGCAUCACCGCAUGGUGUGUGUGUGGAAAGUUUUUUCGGCCAGGGAUGUGCUCGCGGCCUAUCAGCUUGUUGGUGGGGUAAUGGCCUACCAAGGCUUCGACGGGUAGCCGGCCUGAGAGGGUGACCGGCCACACUGGGACUGAGACACGGCCCAGACUCCUACGGGAGGCAGCAGUGGGGAAUAUUGGACAAUGGGCGGAAGCCUGAUCCAGCAACGCCGCGUGAGGGAUGACGGCCUUCGGGUUGUAAACCUCUUUCAGCACAGACGAAGCGCAAGUGACGGUAUGUGCAGAAGAAGGACCGGCCAACUACGUGCCAGCAGCCGCGGUAAUACGUAGGGUCCGAGCGUUGUCCGGAAUUAUUGGGCGUAAAGGGCUCGUAGGCGGUUUGUCGCGUCGGGAGUGAAAACACCGGGCUUAACUCGGUGCUUGCUUUCGAUACGGGCAGACUAGAGGCAUUCAGGGGAGAACGGAAUUCCUGGUGUAGCGGUGAAAUGCGCAGAUAUCAGGAGGAACACCGGUGGCGAAGGCGGUUCUCUGGGAAUGUCCUGACGCUGAGGAGCGAAAGUGUGGGGAGCGAACAGGAUUAGAUACCCUGGUAGUCCACACCGUAAACGUUGGGCGCU